CCCCAUGUAGCCCUUGUUCCUUGUUUUCGUUUCCUAGGGAGCCAGUCAUCAAUGGUGCUUUGCCACAGAGUUGGAGAAACAGCUCCCACUGGAUCUGUCACUUUGGUGGAAAUUUCUCAAUCUGGUCUACCCUGUAACAGAAACCCUGUUCUUUAGACUUCGUAACUCAAAGACUGCUUGCUUGCUUUCUGUGUUUUUUUUUUUUUUUUUUUUUUUUUUUUUUGUCUUUUUGCCAUUUCUUGGGCCGUUCCUGCGGCAUAUGGAGGUUCCCGGGCUAGGGGUUGAAUCGAAGCUGUAGCUGCCUGCCUACACCACAGCCACAGCAACGCCAGAUUUGAGCUGCAUCUGUGACCUACACCACAGCUUAUAGCAAUGAUGGAUCCUUAACUCAGAAGGAGGCCAGGGAUCAAACUCACAUCCUCGUGGAUGCUAGUCGGAUUCAUUUCUGCUGCACCACAGCGGGGACUCCCUCAAAGAUUUUCUUUCAAUUUUAAAAAUGUAAUAUGCCAUAUGCCAAAGAGUACCAUGGGCUGGAGCUUGGCUUAGCUACCCACACAAAAUAUAUUGCACUUGUGGUGAAGGAACUGAAAUUUUAAGUUUUGUAAAACAGUGAAUUCUGUUCUUUGAGUUCUUCAGUAGCAUAAAAGGCUGUGUCACUGCAGAAUCAAAUGAAAUGAACAUCUAUCCAUUGUAACUAUUCUGAUCUAUGUAGCUAAUCAAAAUGCUGAAAAGCAAAAGGCUGAAAAUUUUUCCUGUAGUUUUAUUACUGGAACAAGCUUGCAUUGAUUAGCUUCAGCUCUCCUUCUCUUGUUUUGUGUGAUAGUUAGAAAGUGAGCCACAUGCCUUAUUUCUUUCUGCAGUUUGGAUGGACAUGGGAAAAGCUUUCAUUUAGGCACUAACAAAAGGACUUUCUUUUAUCCACCCAGGAUUUCUUUCACAUUCUCUCCUGCAGUUCUCCCAGCUUGAGAAUGGUGGUGCUGCUGCCCUAUUCUUGCUUUCCUGUUGAACUCACUUAGCUGAGGGCUUUCCCCUCCCUAGAUCAUUAACAUUUGCAGGGAGGUCAAGAAGAAAGCACCAUUCAACCCCCUGAUUCAGAACAUAAGCCAAUGACUUCUAAAAGUCAGAGGAGGGCCUGCCAGCAUCUUUCUGGCUCCUGUGCCUGGUGUCCCACAAGGUUAGCAGGUGCAUUGGCUGGGCCCUGUGUCGCUUUUACAGAAAAGCAUCAGAUACUUGCCUCAGCUGAGAAGGCAGAGGUGAUUGCUACAGAUUAACAGUCUGAUCCAUGGAGGCAAACCUGGAGCUUAAUGAAUUCAUUCCAGAAAGCUCUCCAAUGUCCCCCAAAGCACAAAUCAGGUCAGAGAAAAUAUGAAUUGACUCUUGAAGAAAAGCAUAAGGAGAGGACAGUUUUAUGGGUGGGUGGAAAGGUUUCUGUGUUCCCAAAGCUGAGUGGUAGGGAACAUAGCAGGUAUUUUGCAGAGAAGCAUUCCCCAAACAGACUAGAGAUGUGUACGCCGGCCUCCAGGUGAGGCUAAGUGUGUCUUGGGAGGCCCCCAACUGGAGGACAGUUCCCCUUUCUCCCCCUCUAAGGCCUCAUUGUUUAAUCUAUGGGAUUAACAGGGCCCUUAGUGCACCUGGAUCCCUCUUCGCCUCCCUUCUGGAGCCUGAGGGAGGGGGGAGCUCUUUCCUGCCUCAGUUCCACUGUGGUUUCCGCUCUGCCUCCGUGAAACCCUGAUCCUCAACAGGACAGGGGGGCAUGGCAGCAGCUUAUCGAGCCAUCAGCCCCAGGAGUCCCCUUUCUAUUCAGUUCGCUUUUCUCAGUGAUCUUUGGAGGGUCAGGGCUUUAAGUACAGAGACAAGCAGCUUUGGCUCAAUUCCCAUCCCAUCAGCUUGCUUACAAGCUGCCAUCCUCAGCUGUGUGUGUCUCUGAAUUGAGGCGAUCGGUGCUGCUCCAGAGCUAAACUAAUCAUAAAAAUUCCUGACAGCUCUGAAUGCAGACCCUCCUGCUCGUUUUAAAUCACAGGCGCGCUUCUCCGGCUAGCUCUCUGGAGCAAUAACAAGGACAAAUACGAAAAGGCAGGCUGGGAAGAAGCAUGUGCUUGCGCGCGUGGGCGGGAUUGUCUGGGGAGUGUUUCCAGGGAUCUCUGGCAGGAGGCUUCUUGUUCGUGAAGGAUUUCCCCGGCACUGCAGGAGCAGGAUAACAGAUGGGCUGCUCUCUACAGCGGGAGGGAAAAUACCUUUUGUCGUCGUCGCCAGUGCCCUUUACUGCAGGCCAGCAAAUAGCAGAGCCGUGCAGGCACCCCUUCUGCUCCUGGACGCAGCCUCUCUGUCUUGAGGCAUCAGAUUUUUUCUCUGUAGGAAUAGAAAUGGUAUUUUUCACAGUGUUCAGCUCUGGGAAGCUGUCAGCCGUGAAGAGUGCCCCGUUCUUGUUCAGAGGCGUAGCUUUGGGAACACUGGCGUGAACAGCCAAAGGCAUUUUCAUUUUUAGAGAUUGUCAGACACCUUCACAGGCUUCCUGUUUAUGUCCCUCCGCCCCCCCUCCCCUUUUACCCCCUCCACCUUCCCGAGGACGCUGACCUCAUUCUUUCUAUCUUCAGGCUUGUGCCAUAUGUGGCGAGCAGAAGCCCCAGGACAAGGAAUCAAUGUGAAAAGGUUUUCCUUGUUAGAACCAGACUCGUGGCACACUGAGAAUGGAUGUUAAGAAAAACUCAGUCACCGCUGAAAUUCUCUAAAGUAGCCUGUGCUUUGGCUUGUCAUUUUAUCACCGUCUUGAGAUUUUUUUUUUGGUCACCUCCAACACAAUUUAUGAAAAGAGUAAACCAAACCAGAAUUCUUUGUUGAAUUCUCACACCAGCCAGUUGAGGUAGACGUUAUUGGUUCUCUGAUUUCUUCCAAAAAGACCAAAGCAAAGAGGAAUCAGUAUAUUUUGGAAAAAUUUAGAGCCUGGUUUGUCUUCUCCCACAUGAUGUCUUUGGGCUCAGUGUGGAUUCCCACUCUUCUCCAGCUGCCCCCAGCCUGGCAUCUGCAGGUGCUUUUCCUUCCAGAGGUGGUGGCUCCUGCUCUCUGAUGCUCCUGUGGGAGACACUAGUGAGGAAUUUCAGCUGAACCUAGUUGUUUUGAGUGUAGAUUUGGGACUUUCAUGUGUGCCAGGAAUACACAGCUUUUGUAACUGCUCUUUCUUUUUUGAGAAUUGUGAUCCUUUUAUACCUCUCUGCUUUUCUUCCUCCUGUGGUUAUUUUUUUUUUUCUUUCUCUAUUUCCUGCUCUAUCUCUUCUUAUCUUUUUUUUUUUUUUUUAAGAAUAAUGGAUCCCUUUCUAUUUAUCCUAUGGGUUUUUAAAACUGACCAAUGACUUACCUUUAUCUGUUGUGAUUUCUGAAAGAGAUGGUUUGGUGAAUCUGGCCAAAAAUGUUUAGGCUGCAUUCUCAAACUACCUGAUCUUAUGAGUCUUCUAAUCUAUGUGGAAAGCAGUUUUGGUCCUAAAACAGGUGAUUAAAAACAGCUUUCCAGAGUAAUCAUUUGCUCCCAAUGACUAUGUGCUUGUCCUUUUGUGAAUAUUGGGUAAACUACUAGGUUAUCUGUCCACUCCUAUUCUGCAUCCUUCUUGAUGGCAAGGAUGGUUUCACUCAUUUUCGUAUCCUCUGUGAUGCCUAGAAGACAUAAUGAGAUUUCAGCUAUUUUUUUUUUUUUUGGUCUUUUUUGGGCCACUCCAGCAGCAUAUGAAAGUUCCCAGGCUAGGGGUUGAAGUCGAGCUGCAGCUGCAGGUCUACACCACAGCCAUAGCAAUGCCAGAUCUGAGCUGCAUCUGUGAGCUAUACCACAGCUCAUGGCAUCGCCGGAUCCUUAACCCACUCAGUGUGGCCAGGGAUCAAACCUGAGUCCUCAUGGAUACUAGUUGGGUUUGUUAUCACUGAGCCAUGACAGGAACUCCCUCAGCUAAUUUAAUUCUUAUAAAAAGUGUGUAUGGGGUGUUCCCAUUGUGGCUCAGUGGAAACGAAUCUGACUAGUAUCCAUGAGGAUGCUACUUUGAUUUCUGGCCUCACUCAGUGGGUUGUGGAUCUGGUGUUGUGGUAAGCUGUGGUGUAGGUCGCAGAUGAGGUUCAUAUCUGGCAUUGCUGUGGCUGUGGGGUAGUCCAAGAACUACAGAUCCCAUUAGACCCCUAGCUGGAAACCUCUGUAUGCUGCAGGUGCGGCCCUAAAAAAAAAAUAGAAGUGUGUGUGUCAGAAAGCUGGAGGAAACGAGCCAUGCAUAAUUGAGAAGGGCAAAAUCUUUUCAUUCUGGAUCUGUAGCUGCUAAAUUAUUGAUUGAAAAAAUUAAUCUCUCCAGAUAUUUAUGAACUAGAAUUGGAUCCAGAAAAUAAAUCCAAGUUUCUGUUAUUUCCACAGAUGCUGCCAGGCAUAUUUGGAUAACUUUUGAAAACUCUUGGAAACCUACUAACUUGUGAAAGAAAAUGUCCAGGAAAAAAAAAUGUAAAAAAAUAAUUUUUUAAAACAUUUAAAAACUUUUUCUUAACUCUUAUAAAGCCUGAAUAGAAAAUAAUAUUUUUACUAAAAUAAUAUUUUUUGGGGAUGGUGAUAAUAAAAGGCAAUAAAGUUAGUUUUUUUAGAUGAAAGGAAAUAAAAAUUUGUGUGAAAUUUUAUAAUUUGUAUGGAGUCUUUCAAUAAAGUGGGAGACUUCUUUUUUCCAUCUUCUUCAGUGGACACAAGAUUGAGGACUGUGAAGAGAGGUGCAAACAAUGGUUCAUUCACUGUCAGGAUUUUAUUAUUAACAUUUUAGUUUUACUUGGCAACAGAUUCCUUUCUUGGAAGAGCUGUGUUGGUUUAGUGAAUAAGCUGAUACAUUUUUGGAGCUGGGGGGUAAGACAGUGAAGAGUGUGCUCAAGGCCUGAUAACUUUUCUUCAAAUUACUUUCAGAAAAUGGUAGGACUGGGUUACUGCAAGGAUUUUGUUUCACCGACUGAAAUUUGGAAGCUUGGUUCAGGGAAUGAGUUUUUUUGUGACAAUUAAGAGGAUUUUAGAAGAAUAAAGGAGAAGGCCGAUGAAGUGUUUGGUGACUAGAGCAGAACUGCAGAGGGUGAAAGCAUUGUCUGAGGAAGAAUUUUUUUUCUGUCACACUCAUGGCUUGUGGAAGUUCCUGGGCCAGGGAUUGAACCCACACCACAACAGUGACACCAGAUCCUUAACCUGGUGUACCACAAGGGAACUCCAGGAAGAAUAUUUUAAAAUGCAGAUUUUUUUUUUUUUUUUUUUUUUACCCCUAGCCUGGGAACCUCCAUAUGCUGCAAGUGUGACCCUAAAAAAAAAUUAAUAAAAGAGAAAUCAUACAAGUCCAUAUGCAUUGAUAUUUUUGCAUGAAAUUAUAAUAAUAAAAGAUAAAGGGCCUAAAAUAGUGUAUCAUGUGGUUUUACUGACCUUGAACUUUUCAAAUUCUCUGGGAAUCUGGCUUGUUACCUGCACCAUUGUAGAUAAGCCAGAAGGGGAAAGCCUGGUGGAAAUGCUUUCCUCAAAUUCUCGUUGCUUUGAUUUAAAUUUUCCAUCUUAAAAUGCACCCUAAUGGUGAGUUGAGCAGGUAUAUGGCCCAUGCUAUUGGCCAAGUAGAGCUCCAGGACCUCAGCGAUGCUUGUUAGGACUUGAUAUUUAAGAGAAACAGUGGUACAUGAGGAAUGUGUCAUCACUGGUGCCAUAUUGAUCUUUCAAAAGUAAUUCUAACCUAGAUUAGAACUAUGGGGACGUGGUGAUGUGAGACUUCCACUGAACAAACACGUCUGGACUACUGCCUCAACAAAAAUUCAGAGUGUACUCUUUCCUGAGAAAGAAAC
RNAcentral lists this long non-coding RNA (5814 nucleotides) under Sus scrofa (pig). RNAcentral's name for it is "lncRNA (ENSSSCG00025036574.1)". The record is from RNAcentral. Lineage: Eukaryota; Metazoa; Chordata; Mammalia; Artiodactyla; Suidae.